Long non-coding RNA from Pipistrellus kuhlii (Kuhl's pipistrelle), 533 nucleotides. RefSeq lists it as uncharacterized. The transcript is spliced from 2 exons. Lineage: Eukaryota; Metazoa; Chordata; Mammalia; Chiroptera; Vespertilionidae. The record is from RefSeq and is a predicted model, not a curated record.
ACCUGCAACAUGAAGCGCAACGUGCUCAUGGGGAAAUGUUUGCAACGGUUCCAACAACUGCCAUUAUGGCCACGGUUGGGUAAGGAAGGAUUUCAACUCUUUUGCUUUAUAGGCGCCAGUAGUUAAAACGGACUCUUAACCAAAAGCACCUGUAAUGUGAUGACAAGGCGUCUCCGCAGACACUCAAGUGACCAAAGAGACCCGGACACCGCGUGCACACGAUCCCUCCCGCCCGAGUCGUGCCCGAGUCGCCGAGCAAGCAGGGCUGACGAACUCCCCGGUGUGGCGCCGGCGACCCUUGGCCUGGACCCCUCCCUCGGGGACAGCUCAGACGUCAGGGAAGCAGCGCCCUCACCCUCGGCGAGAAGAGCCGUGCACACGGAAAUGAACACGAUGAGCAGCGUGUCCGCGAACAUGGUACUCAUCCUGCACUUCCGGCUCUGCACUCCCACCCGCCGGGGGGGGAAGCGCUCGACAGCCACGGAAAAUGAGCGAAAAACGACUUUCCUAGACUUCAGGACCACCGAGCAGCA